Oncorhynchus tshawytscha (Chinook salmon) is the source of this 649-nucleotide long non-coding RNA. Lineage: Eukaryota; Metazoa; Chordata; Actinopteri; Salmoniformes; Salmonidae. The record is from Ensembl.
GUGAUGGUGUGUAGUGGUAGUGUGUGGUGAUGGUGUGUAGUGGUAGUGUGUGGUGAUGGUGUGUAGUUGUAGUGUGUGUGUCUGGUGAUGGUGUGUAGUGGUAGUGUGUGGUGAUGGUGUGUAGUUGUAGUGUGUGCUGAUGGUGUGUAGUGGAAGUGUGUGGUGAUUGUGUGUAGUGGUAGUGUGUGGUGAUGGUGUGUAGUGGUAGUGUGUGGUGAUGGUGAUGGUGUGCAGUGUGUGGUGAUGGUGUGUAGUUGUAGUGUGUGGUGAUGUUGUGUAGUUGUAGUGUGUGUGGUGAUGGUGUGUAGUUGUAGUGUGUGUGGUGAUGGUGUGUAGUUGUAGUGUGUGUGGUGAUGGUAUGGCGUGUAGUUGUAGUGAUGGUGUGUGGUGAUGGUGUGUAGUGCUAGUGUGUCUGUGUGUGUGGUGAUGGUGUGUAGUGGUAGUGUGUCUGUGUGUGUGGUGAUGGUGUGUAGUGGUAGUGUGUGUGGUGAUAUUGUGUAGUAUGGUAGUGUGUGGGGAUGGUGUGUAGUGGUAGUGUGUGGUGUUGGUGAUGGUGUGUAGUGGUAGUAUGUGUGUGGUGAUGGUGUGUAGUGGUAGUGUGUGGUGAUGGUGUGUAUGGUGUGGUAGUGUGUGGUGAUGGUGUGUAGUG